This 682-nucleotide long non-coding RNA is filed under the name Homo sapiens (human). The record is from RNAcentral. Lineage: Eukaryota; Metazoa; Chordata; Mammalia; Primates; Hominidae.
GGCUUCCGCCCGGUCUCCCGGCAAGGCUGAGGCCCCGCCCCCGUCAUGGCGCCCGAGGAGAACGCGGGGAGCGAACUCUUGCUGCAGAGUUUCAAGCGCCGCUUCCUGGCAGCGCGCGCCCUGCGCUCCUUCCGCUGGCAGAGCUUAGAAGCAAAGUUAAGAGACUCAUCAGAUUCUGAGCUGCUGCGGGAUAUUUUGCAGAAGUAGACUGUGAAGCAUCCUGUGUGUGUGAAGCACCCGCCGUCAGUCAAGUAUGCCCGGUGCUUUCUCUCAGAACUCAUCAAAAAGGCUGGACUGGGAUCAGAUGGGAAGCGGAAGCUCAUCAUGACCAGAAACUGUUUCCCUACAGAGAGCACUUGGAGAUGGCAAAGCUGAACCUCACACUGUAGGACUCACACAUGACUCCAACGGGAUUGUGAGAAUUAAGUCACUCUCGUGGGAAGAAUUUUUAUAUGGGAAAGCGGAUAAAACUUUCAUUGGACUGGAAUGUUUGGAGAAUGUUAAAUUCCAAAUCAGGAACCACAAACUGCGCUCUAAUAAGACAUCGGCUAUCUAAGCAUGUGGGUUCCCCCUUUCUGCCAGCAGUUCUGGUUCUUAAGAAAAUCACCAUAAAUCAGACAUGAAAAUUCUGGCUCCAAAAAUAGCAUUUUCAUUGUGCAAAUAAAAACGUGUGUAUCAAGUA